Molecule: long non-coding RNA, 650 nt
Organism: Panicum hallii
Lineage: Eukaryota; Viridiplantae; Streptophyta; Magnoliopsida; Poales; Poaceae
Exons: 2
Source: RefSeq, a predicted model, not a curated record
AUGAAAAACUUGCCACGACCUCGCCAUGGCCGGCUCCGGCCACCGCGAACCCCACCCCGGCGCUCAGAGCGGACCGCCUCCGUGCCCCACCGGCCCGGAGCAUCCGUGUGCCACAUCCUCAGAUCCCCCGCACUCAAACGAGAACAAGGAAGGAGACGAGAUGGAUACGGGCAUGCGGCGGCGAUCGAGCAGAGAGCCGUCGCCGUUCCCAAUCCCGCUUACAGCUCGCGGCUCAGCGUCGCCCUCGUCGUCUGCUUCGCCUUCAAGCACGUCCUACGUGAAGACUGAAGUUGACUUUUACUACAAAGGGAUAUGAACUUCGAAAUCGUUAUUGUGGAUGGUGGAAGUCAAGACCGCUGCAAAAUAAUUGCUGGAAGUGUACAGUGAAGAUCGUGUUGUAGUUGUAGGUAUCUUCAAAAACCUGCUUCUGUUCAGCUACUGUUAGCUCGGCUAAGGAAGCUAACAUUUGGUGAGAUUAGAAUUCUCGUUUUAAGUUUUGAGUGAAUUCUAUUAUAACAUCAUAAUACCGCAUGUUAACAUGGAUUAAAGCAUGCUUCUCGAGAAGUUAUUUGCUGGUCCCCAUGGAUGCCGGCCUAUCUCGCCGUGUUUAAAUUUCAACUAAUGCUAUAGAGAAUUUUACUGAUGUACAA